Molecule: transfer RNA, 79 nt
Filed under: Bacillus phage vB_BanS_MrDarsey
Lineage: Duplodnaviria; Heunggongvirae; Uroviricota; Caudoviricetes
Also listed under: 1 other name
Description: tRNA-Gln
Rfam family: tRNA
About the family: Transfer RNA (tRNA) molecules are approximately 80 nucleotides in length. Their secondary structure includes four short double-helical elements and three loops (D, anti-codon, and T loops).
Source: RNAcentral
UUUCGGAGUAGACAAACUGGUAAAGUCACUAGCCUUUGAAGCUAGGGUUUGGAGGUUCGAAGCCUUCCUCCGAAGUCAU